UACACUGCAUGGUAAAAGCAUUCAGCAGUUUAUUCCUGCUGGGUGUUCAAAGGACAGUGCGUUAUAAAUUCAGUAUCUGGCAUCGUUGGUUUUCUCGGCUUUAAGCAUGUUAAACCUGGUAAUUUGGCACACACACAC
Molecule: small nucleolar RNA, 138 nt
Organism: Myotis myotis
Lineage: Eukaryota; Metazoa; Chordata; Mammalia; Chiroptera; Vespertilionidae
Product: small nucleolar RNA SNORA8
Exons: 1
Source: RefSeq, a predicted model, not a curated record